ACAUUUCGUCAAGCCAAAACCAAUUGCAAGAAGUUACAACCCCACCAAAGUGUACAAUACUAACCCAGUAUACAACAACAAAGGAUAUUGUAGCAAUUAUGACAGUUGCCGUGCUGGGUACUACUAUUAUAGCAAAAGCGCCUAUAAUUGCAAUUCUUAUAAAGGAUGUUGUAUCCCACGUAACCCACACGGUCAAGGAUUUUGCGCUGAGUAUGGCAGUUGUCCUGCAGAUUAUUAUUUCUGUAACAACAAAGGCUACUAUUACUAUGACACCUCACGCUACGUAGAUUGUCAUGGUUACAAAGGAUGUUGUCUUCCUAAUAAAGGGUAUUGAAUUUAAUUCUUC
This is a long non-coding RNA of Mytilus trossulus (common blue mussel), 346 nucleotides long. RefSeq lists it as uncharacterized. NCBI's taxonomy places the organism in Eukaryota, Metazoa, Mollusca, Bivalvia, Mytilida, Mytilidae. The record is from RefSeq and is a predicted model, not a curated record. The transcript has 3 exons.